RNAcentral lists this non-coding RNA (178 nucleotides) under Thermovenabulum gondwanense. The record is from RNAcentral. Lineage: Bacteria; Bacillati; Bacillota; Clostridia; Thermosediminibacterales; Thermosediminibacteraceae.
GAAUAUUUUUAGCUUUCAGGUGCCCCAAAAAAGGGGAGAAUAGGGAAUCGGGUGAAAAUCCCGGGCGGUCCCGCCACUGUAACGGGGAUUUCCUUUACAAAUUUGCCACUGGGAAACCGGGAAGGCGUAAGGGAAGGUGAACCGAAGCCAGGAGACCUGCCUGAAGAGCUUGAAUCCU